GACCAAUGGAGGCAACUCUGAUCCAGCCAUGCCGCGUGCAGGAAGAAUGCCUUAUGGGUUGUAAACUGCUUUUAUUUAGGAAGAAUCCCCAGUACGUGUACUGGGUUGACGGUACUAUUUGAAUAAGGACCGGCUAACUCCGUGCCAGCAGCCGCGGUAAUACGGAGGGUCCAAGCGUUAUCCGGAAUCAUUGGGUUUAAAGGGUCCGCAGGCGGGAUGAUAAGUCAGUGGUGAAAUUUCUUAGCUUAACUAAGACAUUGCCAUUGAAACUAUUGUUCUUGAAUUCGGUCGAAGUGGGCGGAAUAUGUCAUGUAGCGGUGAAAUGCAUAGAUAUGACGUGGAACUCCGAUAGCGAAGGCAGCUCACUAGGCCUGAAUUGACGCUCAGGGACGAAAGCGUGGGUAGCAAACAGGAUUAGAUACCCUGGUAGUCCACGCUGUAAACGAUGAUUACUCGAUAUCAGCGAUAUAUUGUUGGUGUCCAAGCGAAAGUGAUAAGUAAUCCACCUGG
RNAcentral lists this ribosomal RNA (510 nucleotides) under uncultured compost bacterium. Its description in RNAcentral is "bacterial SSU rRNA". It matches the Rfam family "Bacterial small subunit ribosomal RNA", at positions 367 to 876 of the family's 1533-position model. The record is from RNAcentral.